GGUUCACGAGGCCCAGUAGGUCCUCCAGGCCGUGCUGGAAAACGAGGUUUGCCCGGUCCCCAAGGUCCUCGCGGCGACAAAGGUGACAAUGGUGAUCGAGGGGACAGGGGACAGAAAGGUCAUCGAGGUUUCACUGGCCUGCAAGGUCUCCCUGGACCUCCUGGACCUACUGGUGAACAAGGCAGUGCUGGGAUUCCAGGCCCAUUUGGCCCAAGAG
Molecule: non-coding RNA, 217 nt
Organism: Thamnophis sirtalis
Lineage: Eukaryota; Metazoa; Chordata; Lepidosauria; Squamata; Natricidae
Source: RefSeq, a predicted model, not a curated record